RNAcentral lists this ribosomal RNA (730 nucleotides) under Bacillus cereus. RNAcentral's name for it is "bacterial SSU rRNA". It matches the Rfam family "Bacterial small subunit ribosomal RNA", at positions 73 to 786 of the family's 1533-position model. Lineage: Bacteria; Bacillati; Bacillota; Bacilli; Caryophanales; Bacillaceae. The record is from RNAcentral.
UAAGAGCUUGCUCUUAUGAAGUUAGCGGCGGACGGGUGAGUAACACGUGGGUAACCUGCCCAUAAGACUGGGAUAACUCCGGGAAACCGGGGCUAAUACCGGAUAACAUUUUGAACCGCAUGGUUCGAAAUUGAAAGGCGGCUUCGGCUGUCACUUAUGGAUGGACCCGCGUCGCAUUAGCUAGUUGGUGAGGUAACGGCUCACCAAGGCAACGAUGCGUACCCGACCUGAGAGGGUGAUCGGCCACACUGGGACUGAGACACGGCCCAGACUCCUACGGGAGGCAGCAGUAGGGAAUCUUCCGCAAUGGACGAAAGUCUGACGGAGCAACGCCGCGUGAGUGAUGAAGGCUUUCGGGUCGUAAAACUCUGUUGUUAGGGAAGAACAAGUGCUAGUUGAAUAAGCUGGCACCUUGACGGUACCUAACCAGAAAGCCACGGCUAACUACGUGCCAGCAGCCGCGGUAAUACGUAGGUGGCAAGCGUUAUCCGGAAUUAUUGGGCGUAAAGCGCGCGCAGGUGGUUUCUUAAGUCUGAUGUGAAAGCCCACGGCUCAACCGUGGAGGGUCAUUGGAAACUGGGAGACUUGAGUGCAGAAGAGGAAAGUGGAAUUCCAUGUGUAGCGGUGAAAUGCGUAGAGAUAUGGAGGAACACCAGUGGCGAAGGCGACUUUCUGGUCUGUAACUGACACUGAGGCGCGAAAGCGUGGGGAGCAAACAGGAUUAGAUACC